This 305-nucleotide ribosomal RNA is filed under the name Acetitomaculum ruminis DSM 5522. RNAcentral describes it as "bacterial LSU rRNA". It matches the Rfam family "Bacterial large subunit ribosomal RNA", at positions 2617 to 2925 of the family's 2925-position model. The record is from RNAcentral. Lineage: Bacteria; Bacillati; Bacillota; Clostridia; Lachnospirales; Lachnospiraceae.
CGUCGUGAGACAGUUCGGUCCCUAUCCGGCGCGGGCGCAGGAUAUUUGAAGGGGGCUGUCCCUAGUACGAGAGGACCGGGAUGGACGGGCCGCUGGUGCACCUGCUGUCAUGCCAAUGGCACAACAGGGUAGCCAAGCCCGGAAGGGAUAAACGCUGAAGGCAUCUAAGCGUGAAGCCCGCCUUAAGAUGAGAUAUCCCCUGCGAAGCAGGUAAGACCCCUUGGAGAACACGAGGUAGAUAGGACAGAGGUGGAAGCACAGUAAUGUGUGGAGCUGACUGCCACUAAUAGGUCGAGGGUCUGACC